AUUGCUUGUCAGCCUUUUGACUAAGAUCAAGUGUAGUAUCUGUUCUUAUUACAAUAGACUCCCUCGAAAAGGCAAUUAUAAUUAAUUAAAAUAUUAAACUCAUACAUGGCUGGCCUCCUACCCAGCCGCUACUGGAAAGCAGUCUGCACCCCUGUUUGUGAAGGGUCCUGUCCCUGGGGAGACCAAGCUGGCAGGUGCUUUUUUUCUUCC
Molecule: small nuclear RNA, 210 nt
Organism: Macaca nemestrina (pig-tailed macaque)
Lineage: Eukaryota; Metazoa; Chordata; Mammalia; Primates; Cercopithecidae
Gene: U2
Rfam family: U2 spliceosomal RNA
About the family: U2 is a small nuclear RNA (snRNA) component of the spliceosome (involved in pre-mRNA splicing). Complementary binding between U2 snRNA (in an area lying towards the 5' end but 3' to hairpin I) and the branchpoint sequence (BPS) of the intron results the bulging out of an unpaired adenosine, on the BPS, which initiates a nucleophilic attack at the intronic 5' splice site, thus starting the first of two transesterification reactions that mediate splicing.
Source: Ensembl